Echinostoma caproni is the source of this 45-nucleotide non-coding RNA. Lineage: Eukaryota; Metazoa; Platyhelminthes; Trematoda; Plagiorchiida; Echinostomatidae. The record is from Rfam.
GCACUGCUGACGGGUCCCAAACAGGACGAAACAACUGUCAAGUGC